Molecule: ribosomal RNA, 515 nt
Filed under: uncultured Eubacteriales bacterium
Lineage: Bacteria; Bacillati; Bacillota; Clostridia; Eubacteriales
Description: uncultured Clostridiales bacterium partial 16S ribosomal RNA
Source: RNAcentral
CACGUAGUUAGCCGGGGCUUCUUAUUUAGGUACCGUCAUUCUUUUCGUCCCUAUUGAUAGAAGUUUACAACCCGAAAAGCCUUCUUCCUUCACGCGGCGUUGCUGCAUCAGGGUUCCCCCCAUUGUGCAAUAUUCCCCACUGCUGCCUCCCGUAGGAGUUUCGGGCCGUGUCUCACGUCCCAAUGUGGCCGAUCACCCUCUCAGGUCGGCUACUGAUCGUUGACCUUGGUGAGCUGUUAUCUCACCAACUAGCUAAUCUAGAUGCGGGCCCAAUCGUAUACCGGAUUACUCCUUUUCCCAUCGGGAGAUGUCCUCCCAAUCGGUGACAUGCGGUAUUAGUCAUCGUUUCCAAUCGAUUAUUCCCCUGUAUACGGCUAGGUUGCCCACACGUUACUCACCCGUCCGCCGCUAAGCCUAUAUACUCUUCCUGCCGAAGCCUCUCCGUAUUAUAUACCUCCGCUCGACUUGCAUGUGUUAAGCACGCCGCCAGCCGUUCAUCCUGAGCCAGGAUCAAA